GAACGCUGUUCAAGUGCUUGACACAUGCUAAUCGUACGAUUAAUUUAAUGAAUAAUUUUAUUAAU
RNAcentral lists this ribosomal RNA (65 nucleotides) under Verticillium dahliae. Its description in RNAcentral is "partial small subunit ribosomal RNA". The record is from RNAcentral. Lineage: Eukaryota; Fungi; Ascomycota; Sordariomycetes; Glomerellales; Plectosphaerellaceae.